AAGUGUGGCCGAGUGGUUUAAGGCAGCGGUCUUGAAAACCGCCGACUCGCAAGGGUCCCAGAGUUCUUAUCUAAGGGUGAUCCUAGCUGCAGCC
RNAcentral lists this transfer RNA (94 nucleotides) under Pseudomonas oryzihabitans. Its description in RNAcentral is "tRNA-Ser". The record is from RNAcentral. Lineage: Bacteria; Pseudomonadati; Pseudomonadota; Gammaproteobacteria; Pseudomonadales; Pseudomonadaceae.